UAAAAAUAAAAAUUAACCUUUUACAUAUAAAUUAGGACCCGGCAUAAAAUAUAAAAUAUUACUACAUUGUUUUAAUUUGUGAAUUCUGUAUUAAAUAAUGGAACAAUUUUCUAUCUUAUCUAAACAUUUUGUAUUCUAUACAUUUUGUUGUUGAUUUUGUUAGUGAAAAGUACGAAAAAGUGUAAAAUAAUUUUAAUAGCAUCCACGCAGAAUUAUUGCAAUAAAGUAAGUUGAUAUGUAUGUCAGUACAUUGUUAACAUGCACAUAGUGUUUAUAUUAGCCAUGCUCUUUAGCUAAUGUGUUAUAUUUCAUAUUAAAGCAUGAAAUAUCAACAUUCCUGGAUAAUAGUAACGCUAACUAGGAAUGUUGGAAAUAUUAAAAGUUAUUUAUUAAAUACAGUAGGAGUUUUUGUUAGCGUUCUGUAUACCUGAGUAUGCUUUUAAAUAAUAUAAUUAGAUAUUAAUAAAUUUAUCCGUAGUUCAUAUUUUCCAUUAUGCAAACUAUAAUGAAGGUAAAAUGAUGAUUAACACUUAUAAUCCAUGUCCAUGUAUGGCGUGUAUCAUGGUCUCACAACAGUAAAUCACCAAACUGCCAGAUUAAAAUUACUAAUCUUAACUUAUAAUUCAUCUAUAGUCAUCAAUAAUAACCCUAUAGCANAAAAAUGUCAUCUAAACGAAAAGACCUUGUAAUUAAACCGAUUAAUCAUUCAGAAAUUAAGUAUCGUUAUCAGGUAUAUCUCAUCUGGGCCUGGAUAAACAACAGAGGCAUUGUGUACUACACAUUUCUGGGCGUAUAUUAUUUAAAAAAAAAAAUCGUUGAAAGUUAAAAACAAAUCUCAUUUUAUUUAUUUCACAAGUAGAUCCUAAAAACAAAUUUCUUGAGUUAUGUAAAAUUUAUAUCUACAAAUCACCAUUUUUUUUUUCAAUUUUUUUCUGUAAGCAUUUUUAUACUUCUAAUUUUUUUUUUGCAAAUUCAUGAAAAAAGUGUUGACAACGAUUGGUAGAAGUAACGGUACAGAAAUUAGUCAUCAUUCUUUUAUUUGAAAAAAAAACUUUUUCUACAUUUAGAUUCCAAGCGUAUCGAAGUAUUUAUCGGUAUUACAGUAGUGUUUAUUUGUUAUUUUUUUCUUCUAGUCUGUGGACAUGUUUUUUUCUAAUAAACUCGUUCCGAAUUGUAUGUGUGCCAAUUCUUCUGUAAGCACAAAGGUACUUUUUAGAUUAUUAACGCCAAGUUUCAAAUAAAAACACUUAAAAAAAAAUAUAAACGUACAAUUUCUCUAUUUUAUUAUUUUAUUAAAACAAGGACGACGUUCUCUACGAAAAUAGUUCGUCCAUGUAUUAAUCGAAAAAUCACAAUAUAACUAUUUUGUGGCCUUUUCGAUUUACUUUCAGUCGGUAUCAACUUCACUCAGAAGAGUCUUUCUUCAAGCAAUGAUAUAUCUGUAAGAAAAGAUAUACCAUUCUUUGAUGAAAUGAAAUCACCCUGUGUAUUAUAUGUACCUAAAUUUUAACUUAUAACUGAGGCCACUCCCAUCUUUAGUACCACCACUAUUAUUAAGAAUAAGUGCAAAAUAUAAGAGUUUAAUUUAACUGUCUUCAAAUAAAUUACUUUGCAUGUGUUUGCAGCCACUGUUGUUGUAGGUGGAAAAUUAGGAAUGUAAAAUUCAGGCUGAAAUAUAAUGUAAAUCUGUAAAAAUCGAAAACCGUUGAUAUCGAAAAAACGAUUCUGAGAGAGGUUUACUGAAAAAUAUUGCUGUGUCAACAAUACAUAUGCCAUAUUAUAGCAAAAUAGUUGCAUAUGCAUUAAACAUUUUCCUUAAAAAUAUUUGUUCAAUUUUGUAUCUAUUCUCCCGUUAUCCUGAUUUUGACAUAUUUAAUUUUUAGGGAGGGAUUUGACUUUAAUAAAAUUUAUUUUAAUAAUAUAAUAAUAUAAUUAACAAAUAUAAUUUAUUAUUACUUAUUACAAAUAGUAAUAACAAUUACUACCUCCUAAUUAUAGUCAUAUCCAAACAUCAAAUUGUACAAGUUAUAAUCAGCAAAAAAUAGGUGCGUUAGCACUCAUAUUAUAUAAUACAUGACUGAUAUUAUACGUAAAUAUUUUUUUCAAAAAUAUUAUGUUAUUAUAUGUCUAUAUUAAUAAAGCAUAAUUUAUAAUUUUUAGUAAACAAAAAAAGUGAAAAUUUCCAUAAUUUUAGUAAUUUUCAAAUUAAAAUAAACACAAAAAAAAAUUUUUGAUCCUGUAUCGAGUAGGCAGUGAACCCAGCGGUAAUUUUAACUGCAGUAAUAUUUUCAAUUAAUUUCUCUUAGACCGUCAAGUGAAAGUGAUUACACCAUAAUAAUCUACCUUAAAGGUAGGAUUAUAGUGUUUCAAUAAUUUUAAUGAUUUCAAAAGUACAGUAUAUUAUAUUUAAAAAUUUAAUGAGUUUUAAUAUUAUUAUAAUAUAACUGAUUUUGUCUAAUUAAAAUCAACUUUUNAGUGAACGGUAAUUUUAACUGCAGCAAUUUUUUCAAUUUAUUUAUCUUAGACAGUCAAGUGAAAGUGAUUACACCGUAAUAAUCUACCUUAAAGGUAGGAUUAUAGUGUUUCAAUAAUUUUAAUGAUUUCAAAAGUACAGUACUUUAUAUUUAAAAAUUUAAUGAGUUUUAAUAUUAUUAUAAUAUAACUGAUUUUGUUUAAUUAAAAUCAACUUUUGUUGAAUAGGUAAUUUACAAAUUUGGCGAUCUAAACCUCUAGCAAGAACAUUUGGAUAGUCAGUCGACUACUGCAAUAACGUAACGUGUAGCAAUUAUUACUGUCAACUGGAAUCAUACCUAUAUACUUAAUAUCAAUUGUUAAGACCGUAACGUUUAACCGAAAUAUAUUAAAAUUAAAGCAUAAAAUUAAUUUUGUGUCUCCCAAGAAUAUCGUAUUAUUCGCGUCUCUAUUUCUGAUUUAUUGCAAAUAUGCUGUUAAAAUUUAUCGUUUCGUAUGUUAUUAUUUAUUCUUUUAUGCCGGUGUCAGUACAAGGUAUAGGCGAAGGACCGAUUUCCCCUCCACCGAAAUCUCAUCUCCCUGAUGAUCCGCAUUUCGAGGGCCCUGGCCCUCCCUCUAUUUCUAAUGCACCUUAUAAUCCAGGUACUCCUGUUCACCCUCCCCGUUAGAUUAAAGGACAUUAAAAAUCAACUUUUGU
Molecule: long non-coding RNA, 3169 nt
Filed under: Cinara cedri
Lineage: Eukaryota; Metazoa; Arthropoda; Insecta; Hemiptera; Aphididae
Source: RNAcentral